AAGGGGGUAGUUCAAAUGGUAGAAUAAUGGUCUCCAAAACCAUAGGCUAAGGGUUCGAGUCCCUUCUCCCUUG
RNAcentral lists this transfer RNA (73 nucleotides) under Hemiarma marina. Its description in RNAcentral is "tRNA-Trp". It matches the Rfam family "tRNA". Rfam says of the family: Transfer RNA (tRNA) molecules are approximately 80 nucleotides in length. Their secondary structure includes four short double-helical elements and three loops (D, anti-codon, and T loops). The record is from RNAcentral. Lineage: Eukaryota; Cryptophyceae; Goniomonadida; Goniomonadaceae.